GGGUUGUGAGGUUAAGCGACUAAGCGUACACGGUGGAUGCCCUGGCAGUCAGAGGCGAUGAAGGACGUGCUAAUCUGCGAUAAGCGUCGGUAAGGUGAUAUGAACCGUUAUAACCGGCGAUUUCCGAAUGGGGAAACCCAGUGUGAUUCGUCACACUAUCAUUAACUGAAUCCAUAGGUUAAUGAGGCGAACCGGGGGAACUGAAACAUCUAAGUACCCCGAGGAAAAGAAAUCAACCGAGAUUCCCCCAGUAGCGGCGAGCGAACGGGGAGCAGCCCAGAGCCUGAAUCAGUGUGUGUGUUAGUGGAAGCGUCUGGAAAGGCGUGCGAUACAGGGUGACAGCCCCGUACACAAAAAUGCACAUGCUGUGAGCUCGAUGAGUAGGGCGGGACACGUGGUAUCCUGUCUGAAUAUGGGGGGACCAUCCUCCAAGGCUAAAUACUCCUGACUGACCGAUAGUGAACCAGUACCGUGAGGGAAAGGCGAAAAGAACCCCGGCGAGGGGAGUGAAAAAGAACCUGAAACCGUGUACGUACAAGCAGUGGGAGCCUCUUUAUGGGGUGACUGCGUACCUUUUGUAUAAUGGGUCAGCGACUUAUAUUCUGUAGCAAGGUUAACCGAAUAGGGGAGCCGAAGGGAAACCGAGUCUUAACUGGGCGUUAAGUUGCAGGUAUAGACCCGAAACCCGGUGAUCUAGCCA
This 700-nucleotide ribosomal RNA is filed under the name Escherichia sp. E4694. RNAcentral describes it as "partial 23S ribosomal RNA". It matches the Rfam family "Bacterial large subunit ribosomal RNA", at positions 1 to 736 of the family's 2925-position model. The record is from RNAcentral. Lineage: Bacteria; Pseudomonadati; Pseudomonadota; Gammaproteobacteria; Enterobacterales; Enterobacteriaceae.